CACAGCCUAUCCUUUUCUUUCAAGCCAAUUGAUAAUUUUUGAGUGGUAGGUCUUUUACCGGAUUAUGCUUGGGGAGAACGUGUUAGGUAUGAGCCGACAGGAUUAAAAUUUUGAGUAGUUCUGAUUUUCACUUUCGAAUCAGAUAGGACUAGGUCUGGGUUCUUACUUGGGUUGGGAUUGGAAUGAUUGUGGAAAGAAAGAAGAGAAAUAGAAAAAGUUGUGUCCUUAGGAGGAGAAUGUUUUUCUAGAAGUUUAUACUCUAGUGAUUGAUUUUUGUGGGGAUAGCAUGAUAUACAGAGAAUGGUUCUGGGAUGUAAAGAAAGAGAAAAAGUUUUGAUGUCUUAUAACGUAAGAGGAAAACAGAACCAUAGUAAAGAAGCAACCCCCUAUCCACUAGUAUUAAUAAGAAACUUCUCCUAAGGCAAAAAGAAAAAAAUGGGAUUGAUGUUGAAGGGUAGACAUAAGGAUCAUUCGGGUUUAGAUGAUUAGGAGUAAGCACUUAGGAACCAUUGGGUGGUUAAGGUUUUAUUCUUGUAUGCAUUGUUGGUCCUUACCUUUAACAUUCUUCCUAAAGCUCAAUCCAUUCAUUGAGAGAUCCUUGUCCUGAAAUUGUUUAAACCCUCUUGAUUCUCAAAACCUUUUUCUGUCUAGCCAAGUGAGUUUGUUAAGCCUUGCACAACCAGAUUCAUAUACUUUAAUAAUGAAUGCUAAAAGGAAUGAAUGAUUUGAAUGCAUGUGUAGAUCAAGGGAUAGAAUCAGUUUCGGAUUUGAUGAGUUUGUCUAAAGUCUUUAAGUAAAAUUCUCUCAGCAUGCAUCAAAGACUUAGCAACCAGGACAUUGAUUUUAACUGCUCUAUCUUGCAAGUUACAGAAUCUGAUACCCCAUUUUCAAACCUCUCUUCCACUUUGUUUCUUUUUGCUUUGCUUGAGGGCAAGCAAAGACUAAGUUUGGAGGAGUUGAUAAGUCUGUAUUUCAUCACUUUUUGAGAAUGCAUUCAUCAUCUUUUCAUCAUCAUUCACUUGUUGAUUCGCAUCAUAUUGAUCACUUUCUGCAUGUUUUACAUACUUAGGUAGGUUUUAUGCAUAUCAUGCAUGUCUUGCAUACAUUAUGCAUAUUUGGAGUGUUUCAGGUAGUUAGGAGACAUGUAGAGCGAAGCAUAGGAUCAAGCGUUACUCGACAUGCAUACGAUCGAGUGGGACGAUCGAGUGACAAGCAAGGAUGCAUUGCAGGAACAUACUUCACUCGAUGGACACGAUCGAAUAGGAUGAUCGAGUAGGCAGCAGAGAUACAUUGCAAAUACAUCGACGAUCGUGUGAGCAGCAGACGCAUACUAUCGAGUGAGCAGCAUAAGGGACGCGAAGCAGAACCACCUGUCACUCGAUGCACACACUUGAGUGACAUGAUCGAGCAAAGCAAAGAAGUAGCUGAUGAUUUCACAGAUCACUCGACACGCUCACUCGAGAUACACGGUCGAGUAUGAAAUGAUGCAGAGAAGAAAUUAACUUUUACUCGACACGCUCACUCGACCGACAGGGCCAUUACAACUUUUAAACCGCUUUUACGUUGUCGUUUUAUGUUUAAAGGUUUUCCCAAACAUUGUUAUAAGUAGGUCUCAUUUGGUUUGCCCAAGGGAUGGAGUUUUUAUUAGGUUUUUGUUGUUAGCCACCAAACAAUCCAGAAAAUUAAAAUUCAUAUUUCUUUUGAGUUAUUGAGAUUUUGCAACUAGUUCUUAAA
This 1734-nucleotide long non-coding RNA is filed under the name Capsella rubella. Its description in RNAcentral is "long non-coding RNA (CRUB_LNC003087)". Lineage: Eukaryota; Viridiplantae; Streptophyta; Magnoliopsida; Brassicales; Brassicaceae. The record is from RNAcentral.